This is an RNA transcript of Selaginella moellendorffii, 1807 nucleotides long. It is a transcript of the gene named probable lipid II flippase MurJ, with no coding region annotated. The record is from RefSeq and is a predicted model, not a curated record. The transcript is spliced from 11 exons. Lineage: Eukaryota; Viridiplantae; Streptophyta; Lycopodiopsida; Selaginellales; Selaginellaceae.
UUGCCGCAUUGAUGUCCAAAACCCUCUUGAGAGAGAGAGAGGGAGAGGUCAUCUUGAGAUGAGCGACUUGUGGGUCUUUCUCUCCAAUGGAUCGGUUCGUCAGUGCCCAGGCUCCUUGUCUCUCGGUAGGAGGGCCUCCCUCUCAAGCGGGAGUGACUGGAAGUGCUACUGCUCUUAGCAAAGUCUUGGGAUUAGUUCGUGAGCUUGUUCUUGCUGCUGUAUUUGGUGUUGGUCCUGUCGUAGAUGCGUUCGGGUAUGCAUCGAGUUCAUGGUGCUCUUCGCUAAGUUCGAAAGUUUGUAGAUAUGCGUCCCUUGUACCAGGAUUUUUUCUGAUAAUCCUUGGAGGAAUCAAUGGACCAAUCCACAUAACAAUGGUAUCGGCCUUAAGAUAUCUUUGAGCCUUGGCAUUCUCAUGUACACAUUAGCGGCUUUUCUUAUUGAUGCAAUCGCACCAGGAUUGUUAUUGAAAACAAGCGGUGGAUUGAUCACGAGAAGCAUGGCUAUACUUCAGCUGAGAAUCAUGGCGCCUUGUGUAACACUCGCGUGCUUGAUGGGAAUCGGCUGUGGAAGUUUUGACCGAGCUUUCACGUCCAGUUUGUAGCCAAACUUUGGAAUGGGUUUUCAUGUGCAGUGUCUCGGGAAGAUACGGGAUUGCAUCCUUGAGUCCUGCUCUAUCAAGCAUAUCGAUCAUUCUCGCGGCUGCAAUUCAUUGCAAGCUUUGCAAUCCUCAUUGCCUUGAGCUUUAAAGUCGAUUCAUACAAAGUGGUGCUUGACAGGAGGUGUUUUGCUCGUUUUGGCCUCGACAGUGGGAGCUUUGGCUCAAUGGCUUUUGCAGAUCUUUGCUCAAGAUGAUCGAGGCAUCAAACUUUGCAUGCUUUUAAUGACCGCUCUCGCGAUCCCUCUCGCUAAACCGAUCGUCCGAGCUCUCGUCCAGUGCUACACAUUUGGCGACUCCGCCGCUCAAGCCGUAUCAUCGCUCGUCAAACACUAUGCGAUGGGCUCUACUUGCGACCUCCUUGAACGUAUUUUCUACGCUCUUGGCGAUCUCGAUUUUACGUGAACUUGGCUGCCAUCUAACGCUCUCUUGGACUGGCUGCUCGUUGGAAAACUUUGUGGAAACUCUCUCUCUCUCUCUCUCUCUCGUGCUCCAGGUAAUGGCCACUUCAAUGGCACCGCUACGUAAAAUUCUAGAUGGGCCUGACAGCCAAAGCUUUUGGAGAAGCUCACAACACCGGCUCCUCAGAUGAUCAAACUUCCGGUUGCUUCCUUUUGUUGCAGCUUUUAGACGACGGUGCGACCUUGUCAGGGAUCCCAAAAUUUAGCGCAUGACUGUUGCGGAGUUUUUGGAACGGAGUGGAGGCUCCACGCUUGUUGAUGUAAGCUGGUGCCCCAGAAGGAGGCUUUCUUCAAGACUGUCGGAAAUAUGUAUCAACACAGCUGUCCGAGGAACUUAGCUGGAUCAAGGUUGAAAAGGAGUUGCUUCAUCUGCGAGAGAUCCAAGCAGGAGGUAAAUCGAAGCUGGUUAAGGCAGACUUUCCUUUUGUGAUUCAGUUUAAAACACUUGACUUGAGAGCAGGACUGACUUGAAAGAUGGCUUACCAGCCGGGACCUGCAAAUACAUGCUGCGCAGGUGCAAACUUUGUCAUCGAGCAGGAUGAAAUGACAAGCUUCACAAGCAUGACGGUAGUCUCCUCAUUUCGUGAGUGCAAAUGCUUUUCUUUUUGUUGUUCUCCCCACACAAGGCCCGAUUUCAAGCUAAAAUCCCAAUUGCGAGCAAGCAAUUCUAAUCUUAGCCUUGAUCGUGUCA